Cornus florida is the source of this 118-nucleotide small nuclear RNA. Lineage: Eukaryota; Viridiplantae; Streptophyta; Magnoliopsida; Cornales; Cornaceae. The record is from RefSeq and is a predicted model, not a curated record.
GAGAGCAAAAGGUCGAGAGACGGCUGGCAUCUCCCCCGACAGGAAUGGGAUGGCUUUCGGGCUUACCUGUUAACACAUCCUUUAAAGCUAUCCACGUAUGUGGAUCUCCAACCAAAAU